GUGGCGGACGGGUGAGUAAUGCAUCGGGACCUACCCAGACGUGGGGGAUAACGUAGGGAAACUUACGCUAAUACCGCAUACGUCCUACGGGAGAAAGCGGGGGACCUUCGGGCCUCGCGCGUUUGGACGGACCGAUGUUCGAUUAGCUAGUUGGUAAGGUAAUGGCUUACCAAGGCGACGAUCGAUAGCUGGUCUGAGAGGAUGAUCAGCCACACUGGAACUGAGACACGGUCCAGACUCCUACGGGAGGCAGCAGUGGGGAAUAUUGGACAAUGGGCGCAAGCCUGAUCCAGCAAUGCCGCGUGUGUGAAGAAGGCCUUCGGGUUGUAAAGCACUUUUAUCGGGAACGAAAUACCACGGGUUAAUAACCUAUGGGGCUGACGGUACCCGAGGAAUAAGCACCGGCUAACUUCGUGCCAGCAGCCGCGGUAAUACGAAGGGUGCAAGCGUUAAUCGGAAUUACUGGGCGUAAAGGGUGCGUAGGCGGUUAGUUAAGUCUGUCGUGAAAUCCCCGGGCUCAACCUGGGAAUGGCGAUGGAUACUGGCUGGCUAGAGUGUGUCAGAGGAUGGUGGAAUUUCCGGUGUAGCGGUGAAAUGCGUAGAGAUCGGAAGGAACAUCAGUGGCGAAGGCGGCCAUCUGGGACAA
This 646-nucleotide ribosomal RNA is filed under the name uncultured Rhodanobacter sp. RNAcentral's name for it is "bacterial SSU rRNA". It matches the Rfam family "Bacterial small subunit ribosomal RNA", at positions 95 to 737 of the family's 1533-position model. Lineage: Bacteria; Pseudomonadati; Pseudomonadota; Gammaproteobacteria; Lysobacterales; Rhodanobacteraceae. The record is from RNAcentral.